AUAUUGGCCAGAGACCGAUAGCGCACAAGUAGAGUGAUCGAAAGAUGAAAAGCACUUUGAAAAGAGAGUUAAAAAGUACGUGAAAUUGUUGAAAGGGAAGCGUUUAUGACCAGACUUGGACUUGGUUAAUCAUCUGGGGUUCUCCCCAGUGCACUUUUCCAGUUCAGGCCAGCAUCAGUUUUCGCCGGGGGAUAAAGGCUUCGGGAAUGUAGCUCUCUUCGGGGAGUGUUAUAGCCCGUUGUGUAAUACCCUGGUGGAGACUGAGGUUCGCGCUUCUGCAAGGAUGCUGGCGUAAUGGUCAUCAACGACCCGUCUUGAAACACGGACC
This 328-nucleotide ribosomal RNA is filed under the name uncultured fungus. Its description in RNAcentral is "LSU rRNA". It matches the Rfam family "Eukaryotic large subunit ribosomal RNA", at positions 320 to 667 of the family's 3401-position model. The record is from RNAcentral. Lineage: Eukaryota; Fungi.